This 551-nucleotide ribosomal RNA is filed under the name uncultured Glomeromycotina. Its description in RNAcentral is "SSU rRNA". It matches the Rfam family "Eukaryotic small subunit ribosomal RNA", at positions 548 to 1098 of the family's 1831-position model. The record is from RNAcentral. Lineage: Eukaryota; Fungi; Glomeromycota.
UUGGAGGGCAAGUCUGGUGCCAGCAGCCGCGGUAAUUCCAGCUCCAAUAGCGUAUAUUAAAGUUGUUGCAGUUAAAAAGCUCGUAGUUGAACUUCGGGGUUUACCCAUUGGUCAGGCUUAAUUGUCUGUACUGGUGAGAUAAAUCUCUACCUUCUGAGGAACUUUCAUGCCAUUUAGUUGGUGUGAUAGGAAAUCAGGACUGUUACUUUGAAAAAAUUAGAGUGUUUAAAGCAGGCUAACGUCUGAAUACAUUAGCAUGGAAUAAUGAAAUAGGACGGAUUGGUUCUAUUUCGUUGGUUUCUAGGACCACCGUAAUGAUUAAUAGGGAUAGUUGGGGGCAUUAGUAUUCAAUUGUCAGAGGUGAAAUUCUUGGAUUUAUUGAAGACUAACUAUUGCGAAAGCAUUUGCCAAGGAUGUUUUCAUUAAUCAAGAACGAAAGUUAGGGGAUCGAAGACGAUCAGAUACCGUCGUAGUCUUAACCAUAAACUAUGCCGACUAGGGAUCGGACGAAGUUAAUUUUAUAAUGACGCGUUCGGCGCCUUACGGGAAAC